GAGAUCAUUAAUAGUAGUAAGCUUGGUGACAUUAGUCAUGUUGUUUAUGUGAAGGGUGAUAGUGUUUGUUUUCGAAGAGGAAGGAGGAGCAGACAUGGUGGCUCAAGAAAUUUUGCAAAGAAAAAAUCAUUAGGGAUCGUUGGCUCUUAAAUCCAUGUAAAUAUUAUGAAUGGAUAAUCUUUAUUGACUAGAGGAAUGAGAUUAUAUACACAUACAAACAUUGCUAGGGUAUUUUUUAGAGAGUAAUUACAUUACGUAGUUUACAUAAAUAGAGGACUGAACUGAGAAAUCAUAUACUAUGAUUGAUCCUUCAUGCAAAGUAACUUUGAUUGUUCUUAUGAAACUACGACAGUUCAACUACAAAAACUACCAUGUCGCUAUAGAGAAUAAUAAAUUGUUGAUGAAGCAUAAUCCUUCACUAAAUUAAGAACUCAAUCACCAGAACCACAAAAUUCUUAUCACCGCUGCCUUAAUUUUAAACUCCACAACACAAUUCAAUUAAGCUAUUAAUGAAGUUCAUAAAACUUUUUCACUAUACCACAAUUACACACAUAGAACAAUGUCAUCACCUUUUAGCAGUACGAGCCAGUUUGUGUUUAGUCCUCAGUUCCCGCUCUGACAUCUGUUGAACACAAAACCUCCAUCUCUAGAAAACCAAACAGCCACAGAAACAUUACUUAACUGAAAAAACUCAAAUAUGAAAUUGAUAAUCUUUGCUUGUAGACAUAACUCUGAAACUCUUCCAAAUCGUUUACAUUUGAAUCCAAUAAAGGACGAGGCGAUCACGACCUCAUUGAUCAACCCUAUGACUCAUUCACUAUAUUUAAGAGAUGAAGACUAAACCCUAGAUCCCAAUCCACUCGGUAAACCCAAUGACUCAUACCCUACAAAACAUACAUAUUCUGGUGAGAAAUCUUAAAAUUUCAUAGCAUCAUGUGAUAAAUUACACUGACAUGCAACACAAUUAAAAAUGAGAAGACGAUGGUGUGUCAGAUUUACUCGCCGGUGGACCUCGCCGUCCCUUAAGGCCAUUAGAGGAACAAUCCGAAUUGUUUUCGGACGCCGAUAUCAAUGACCGAGAAAACCGAAUCGUCAAAUCGAGAAGAAUUUUAAUUUUUACCCGAUACCAACAAAUAUUGGUCUCGGAGACCAAGAAAUCUGGUGGUUUAGCCCGAAAAAUCCAACCAUUUAAGGUGAAUUGAUUUAUUUAGCCGGAUUUAUCAAGAAUCGGUUCAGAUUUCACCUGAGAUGGUCGAUAGAGAAGGAAGAGAUAUUCGGCGAGAAAAAGAAAGAAACUAUGAAAGAAAUAAUAAUUUUUCCUAUUCAUUUUACUCAUCACGCAAUCACAAUUAGACAAUGGCGGUGCUUAAUCG
Molecule: long non-coding RNA, 1373 nt
Filed under: Capsella rubella
Lineage: Eukaryota; Viridiplantae; Streptophyta; Magnoliopsida; Brassicales; Brassicaceae
Description: long non-coding RNA (CRUB_LNC002182)
Source: RNAcentral